RNAcentral lists this ribosomal RNA (263 nucleotides) under uncultured bacterium. RNAcentral describes it as "partial 16S ribosomal RNA". It matches the Rfam family "Bacterial small subunit ribosomal RNA", at positions 793 to 1055 of the family's 1533-position model. The record is from RNAcentral.
GUCCACGCCCUAAACGAUGUCAACUGGUUGUUGGGUCUUCACUGACUCAGUAACGAAGCUAACGCGUGAAGUUGACCGCCUGGGGAGUACGGCAGCAAGGUUGAAACUCAAAGGAAUUGACGGGGACCAGCACAAGCGGUGGAUGAUGUGGUUUAAUUCGAUGCAACGCGAAAACCUUACCCACCUUUGACAUGUACGGAAUUCGCCAGAGAUGGCUUAGUGCUCGAAAGAGAGCCGUAACACAGGUGCUGCAUGGCUGUCGU